This 253-nucleotide ribosomal RNA is filed under the name uncultured bacterium. RNAcentral's name for it is "partial 16S ribosomal RNA". It matches the Rfam family "Bacterial small subunit ribosomal RNA", at positions 524 to 776 of the family's 1533-position model. The record is from RNAcentral.
UACGUAGGUGGCAAGCGUUGUCCGGAUUUACUGGGCGUAAAGAGCGCGCAGGCGGUCGUUCAAGUCGCGUGUGAAAGCCCCCGGCUCAACUGGGGAGGGUCACGCGAUACUGAUCGACUCGAAGGCAGGAGAGGGAAGUGGAAUUCCCGGUGUAGUGGUGAAAUGCGUAGAGAUGCGGAGGAACACCGAUGGCGAAGGCAGCCCCCUGGGCCGACAUUGACGCUGAGACUCGAAAGCGUGGGGAGCAAACAGG